Molecule: long non-coding RNA, 352 nt
Filed under: Capsicum annuum
Lineage: Eukaryota; Viridiplantae; Streptophyta; Magnoliopsida; Solanales; Solanaceae
Description: long non-coding RNA (CANN_LNC022127)
Source: RNAcentral
UUUUAACAUACAUGCCAUGUGCAUUAUUCACACAACUUUUAUUUCUCUCAUUCUUCCAUUCUAUAUAUCUGCAUUUGUUUCAUCAGAGAAUUUGCUUCUUUAACGAAAUUCCUGACUAAUGCAAAUAGCUGCUUCAUUAAUUUUAUGGCAAACACAAUUGUAGCUGGAGGUGUUCCAUCUUUUGGAUUACUUGGAAUCUGCAGAAUGCCACAGCAUCAAGCAACACCAAUUUGUGGGUACUUCAUCCUCCCAACACUAUUGUAUUUGUCUGUGGGCCUGUCAGAAAUAGCUCUCAUUUCUGAGGCAGUGGUACGGAUUCCAAACGUUCGACCCUCCUAGAUCUCAUUGUGUG